CCUGGACGCCAUUUCCCCCUAUUUUCCGUACAACAAAAUGGCGGCGGCGCUGCCUCCCUCUCUCCCCCCCACUCCCCUCACCCCGCUGCCGGCAUGCGCCUCCCGGCAGGCUGUGCGGCGCCGUACGGCAGCAUGGCGGCGCCCGGAGCGGCGGCGGCGGGGCUGGUGCAGUACGUGGUGCUGCGGGGGGACCUGGCCCGGUCGUGGCCGCUGGGCGCGGCGGUGGCUCAGGCUUGCCACGCCGCCCUGGCCGCCGUUCAUGCGCACCGCCAGCACCCGGACACUAGCGCCUACCUGGAGCAGGGCGGCGCCAUGCGCACCGUCGUGCUGGAGGCUCCGGACGAAGCCGCCCUGAUGUCGCUGGCGGAGACCCUGAAGCAGCACAGCGUCGACCACCAAGUGUGGACUGAGCAGCCCGAGAACGUGGCCACCUGCCUGGCGCUCAGGCCCUACCCCAAGGACCAAGUGCACCAGCACCUGAAGAAAUUUAAAUUGCUGAAGUGACUGGGCACAGGCAGCUCCUCCUGGGCCAGAGGCGAGCUCUCCCCGAGGCAGGCGGCAGGAGGAGGGCUGCUGUGUCUCGGGAGCGCUGUGCUAACUCCCAGCAGCAGCGCUUUGGGAUUUAAACCGCCGUUUUUGCCACCGAGCUCCGCGCACCGGCUGAUUUCCAGCUCCCCAGCGUGAGGAACCGCAGCGACAGGGGGGUUCCCGGUGCCAGGACGGAGUGACCCCCGGCUGCCCCACACCUCCACCCCCAUCGGCACAGAAACAACGAAACAUUAGCUGGCAAUUCCGGUUCUUUUUUUUCUUUUUUUUUUUUUUUUUUGGUUGGUUUUUUUGUUUGUUUGUGUCAUCUUUAACUCUUGCAAAUGUCAAUCAACAAAGCUACACGUUUUUCCACACACCAGCGCGAUUUUUUUUAGAGAGGGAAAAAAAAUAAAAAUCCCCCACAGCCGCCACCCACCCCCCCAUAAAAGUCAGCAGUGAAUAUUAAAAGCGACCCCCAACUAAAAGAGAAGAAAACAAAUUUAUACAGAGCUCAGAGCUAUUUACAGUGACAGGCUUGAGGGGAAAAAAAAAAUAAGCUAUCUCCCAACAGAGAAGUCAAUUAUUAUUAUUAUUUUAUUAUUAUUAUUUUAAAUAGUUUAAGCUACCUCAGCUGUUAAACACAAUCAAAGCAGAAAGAACCGACUGCUUAAUUUUAUUUAAUAUUUAAUCAGAAAAUUUUAUC
This is an RNA transcript of Chroicocephalus ridibundus (black-headed gull), 1231 nucleotides long. It is a transcript of the gene named peptidyl-tRNA hydrolase domain containing 1, with no coding region annotated. The transcript has 3 exons. The record is from RefSeq and is a predicted model, not a curated record. NCBI's taxonomy places the organism in Eukaryota, Metazoa, Chordata, Aves, Charadriiformes, Laridae.